GCGCACUGCUCAGUAACACGUGGACAACCUGCCCUGAGGACUGGAAUAAUCCCGGGAAACUGGGGGUAAUUCCAGAUAUGUCAGAACUCCUGGAAUGGGUUCUGGCAGAAAGGCUCCGGCGCCUCAGGAUGGGUCUGCGGCCUAUCAGGGUAGUAGUGGGUGUAACGUACCUACUAGCCUACGACGGGUACGGGUUGUGAGAGCAAGAGCCCGGAGAUGGAUUCUGAGACAUGAAUCCAGGCCCUACGGGGUGCAGCAGGCGCGAAAACUUUACAAUGCGGGCAACCGCGAUAAGGGGACCUCGAGUGCUGGGUUACAAACCUGGCUGUUGGGCUGCCUAAAAAGCAGUCUAUAGCAAGGGCCGGGCAAGACCGGUGCCAGCCGCCGCGGUAACACCGGCGGCUCGAGUGGUAACCGCUAUUAUUGGGUCUAAAGGGUCUGUAGCCGGCCGACUAAGUCUCUUGGGAAAUCUGGCAUCUCAAGUGUCAGGCUGCCAGGGGAUACUGGUCGGCUUGGGACCGGGAGAGGUGAGAGGUACCUCGGGGGUAGGGGUGAAAUCUUGUAAUCCUCGAGGGACCACCAGUGGCGAAGGCGUCUCAC
RNAcentral lists this ribosomal RNA (600 nucleotides) under uncultured archaeon. Its description in RNAcentral is "bacterial SSU rRNA". It matches the Rfam family "Archaeal small subunit ribosomal RNA", at positions 81 to 680 of the family's 1478-position model. The record is from RNAcentral.